Molecule: ribosomal RNA, 460 nt
Filed under: uncultured bacterium
Lineage: Bacteria
Description: partial 16S ribosomal RNA
Rfam family: Bacterial small subunit ribosomal RNA
Source: RNAcentral
CCUACGUGUGGCUGCAGUGAGGAAUAUUGGUCAAUGGGCGCAAGCCUGAACCAGCCAAGUAGCGUGAAGGAUGACUGCCCUACGGUUUGUAAACUUCUUUUAUAAAGGAAUAUAGUGAGGCUCGUGUGCCUUUUUGUAUGUAUUUUAUGAGUAACGAUCGGCUAACUCCGUGCCAGCAGCCGCGGUAAUACGGAGGGUCCGAGCGUUAUCCGGAUUUAUUGGGUUUAAAGGGAGCGUAGAUGGGUUGUUAAGUCAGUUGUGAAAGUUUGCGGCUCAACCGUAAAAUUGCAAUUGAUACUGGCAGCCUUGAGUGCAGUUGAGGUAGGCGGAAUUCGUGGUGUAGCGGUGAAAUGCUUAGAUAUCACGAAGAACUCCGAUUGCGAAGGCAGCCUACUAAACUGUAACUGACAUUGAUGCUCGAAAGUGUGGGUAUCAAACAGGAUUAGAUACCCCGGUAGUC